AUAUCAAUAAGCGGAGGAAAAGAAACUAACAAGGAUUCCCCUAGUAACGGCGAGUGAACCGGGAUGAGCUCAAAUUUGAAAUCUGGCGUCCUCAGGGCGUCCGAGUUGUAAUCUAUAGAGGCGUUUUCCGUGCCGGACCGUGUCCAAGUCCCUUGGAACAGGGUAUCAAAGAGGGUGACAAUCCCGUACUUGACACGACGACCGGUGCUCUGUGAUACGUCUUCUACGAGUCGAGUUGUUUGGGAAUGCAGCUCAAAAUGGGUGGUGAGUUCCAUCUAAAGCUAAAUAUUGGCGAGAGACCGAUAGCGAACAAGUACCGUGAGGGAAAGAUGAAAAGCACUUUGGAAAGAGAGUUAAACAGUACGUGAAAUUGUUGAAAGGGAAACGAUUGAAGUCAGUCGUGACUGUUGGGCUCAGCAGGUUCUGCCUGUGUAUUCCCCUCAGUCGGGUCAACAUCAGUUUUGACCGGUGGAUAAGGGCAGCAGGAAUGUGGCACCUCCGGGUGUGUUAUAGCCUGUCGUCGCAUACAUCGGUUGAGACUGAGGAACGCAGCUCGCCCUUGAGGCCGGGGUUCGCCCACGUCCGAGCUUAGG
Molecule: ribosomal RNA, 593 nt
Filed under: Rhynchogastrema aquatica
Lineage: Eukaryota; Fungi; Basidiomycota; Tremellomycetes; Tremellales; Rhynchogastremaceae
Description: eukaryotic LSU rRNA
Rfam family: Eukaryotic large subunit ribosomal RNA
Source: RNAcentral